CCUAAGGUAGCGAAAUUCCUUGUCGGGUAAGUUCCGACCUGCACGAAUGGCGUAAUGAUGGCCAGGCUGUCUCCACCCGAGACUCAGUGAAAUUGAACUCGCUGUGAAGAUGCAGUGUACCCGCGGCAAGACGGAAAGACCCCGUGAACCUUUACUAUAGCUUGACACUGAACAUUGAGCCUUGAUGUGUAGGAUAGGUGGGAGGCUUUGAAGCGUGGACGCCAGUCUGCGUGGAGCCAACCUUGAAAUACCACCCUUUAAUGUUUGAUGUUCUAACGUAGGCCCCUAAUCGGGGUUGCGGACAGUGUCUGGUGGGUAGUUUGACUGGGGCGGUCUCCUCCCAAAGAGUAACGGAGGAGCACGAAGGUUAGCUAAUCCUGGUCGGACAUCAGGAGGUUAGUGCAAUGGCAUAAGCUAGCUUGACUGCGAGCGUGACGGCGCGAGCAGGUGCGAAAGCAGGUCAUAGUGAUCCGGUGGUUCUGAAUGGAAGGGCCAUCGCUCAACGGAUAAAAGGUACUCCGGGGAUAACAGGCUGAUACCGCCCAAGAGUUCAUAUCGACGGCGGUGUUUGGCACCUCGAUGUCGGCUCAUCACAUCCUGGGGCUGAAGUAGGUCCCAAGGGUAUGGCUGUUCGCCAUUUAAAGUGGUACGCGAGCUGGGUUUAGAACGUCGUGAGACAGUUCGGUCCCUAUCUGCCGUGGGCGCUGGAGAAUUGAGGGGGGCUGCUCCUAGUACGAGAGGACCGGAGUGGACGCAUCACUGGUGUUCGGGUUGUCAUGCCAAUGGCACUGCCCGGUAGCUAAAUGCGGAAGAGAUAAGUGCUGAAAGCAUCUAAGCACGAAACUUGCCCCGAGAUGAGUUCUCCCUGAGACU
RNAcentral lists this ribosomal RNA (873 nucleotides) under human gut metagenome. RNAcentral describes it as "bacterial LSU rRNA". It matches the Rfam family "Bacterial large subunit ribosomal RNA", at positions 1950 to 2822 of the family's 2925-position model. The record is from RNAcentral.